AAAAAUACAAAUCCUAGGUUUCCGUGUCCGACGUUUAACCGUCCGUCUUAUUUGAAAAAAAUAUGAAAAAAAUUAAAAAGACAAGUCACGCAUAAAGUAUUAAUCAUGUUUUAUCAUCUAACAACAAUGAAAAUACUAAUUAUAAAAAAAUUCCAUAUAAGACAGACAAUCAAAUAUUGGACAAAGAAACCCAGGGUUUGUCUUUUU
This is a non-coding RNA of Oryza glumipatula, 207 nucleotides long. The record is from Rfam. NCBI's taxonomy places the organism in Eukaryota, Viridiplantae, Streptophyta, Magnoliopsida, Poales, Poaceae.